RNAcentral lists this ribosomal RNA (388 nucleotides) under uncultured bacterium. Its description in RNAcentral is "bacterial SSU rRNA". It matches the Rfam family "Bacterial small subunit ribosomal RNA", at positions 28 to 418 of the family's 1533-position model. The record is from RNAcentral.
GACGAACGCUGGCGGCGUGCUUAACACAUGCAAGUCGAGCGGUAAGGCCCUUUCGGGGGUACACGAGCGGCGAACGGGUGAGUAACACGUGGGUGACCUGCCCUCAGCUCUGGGAUAAGCCCGGGAAACUGGGUCUAAUACCGGAUAUGACUCCAUGACGCAUGUUGUGGGGUGGAAAGCCUUGUGCGGCUAGGGAUGGGCCCGCGGCCUAUCAGCUUGUUGGUGGGGUGAUGGCCACCAAGGCGACGACGGGUAGCCGGCCUGAGAGGGCGACCGGCCACACUGGGACUGAGACACGGCCCAGACUCCUACGGGAGGCAGCAGUGGGGAAUCUUGCGCAAUGGGCGAAAGCCUGACGCAGCGACGCCGCGUGAGGGAUGACGGCCUC